ACCAUAAAAUAAAAUUGUACUUUAGAAAUUGGACAUGGUGGAACAACGACGAUGAAGACACUUUGGAACUGAAAUGAAGAACAACAAAAACAAGUUAAGAAAAAAUAUAACAUACAAAGAAGAGAAGAUAAAGGGAGAAAGAAGACAACCGACGGGUGAUGAAGGUGGGACUGGGCAGCGAAGGGCAUUGGAAGGCGGCAGCGGAGGCAGUGAGGAUCACGACAAAGUGAGAGUUGAAAUGAAGAAGAAGAACAAAAUAAGAGAAGAGAAGACAACCGGAGAAGAAAGAGCACACCGACGGUGAACAAUGCUGGAUUAGUGGCAGCGACACAGAGGCACUACAAGGUGGGGGCAACGAAAUGCGAAGAGUAGACACUGCAAAGGGGUCAGCGAAAUGCAAAAGAGUUAAAAAAUUAGGUUUCU
Molecule: long non-coding RNA, 423 nt
Filed under: Phaseolus vulgaris (common bean)
Lineage: Eukaryota; Viridiplantae; Streptophyta; Magnoliopsida; Fabales; Fabaceae
Description: long non-coding RNA (PVUL_LNC000106)
Source: RNAcentral